Molecule: ribosomal RNA, 2042 nt
Filed under: Bacillus safensis
Lineage: Bacteria; Bacillati; Bacillota; Bacilli; Caryophanales; Bacillaceae
Description: bacterial LSU rRNA
Rfam family: Bacterial large subunit ribosomal RNA
Source: RNAcentral
GUUCUCUCCAGAGUGGAUCCUGAGUACGGCGGAACACGUGAAAUUCCGUCGGAAUCCGGGAGGACCAUCUCCCAAGGCUAAAUACUCCCUAGUGACCGAUAGUGAACCAGUACCGUGAGGGAAAGGUGAAAAGCACCCCGGAAGGGGAGUGAAAUAGAUCCUGAAACCGUGUGCCUACAAGUAGUCAGAGCCCGUUAACGGGUGAUGGCGUGCCUUUUGUAGAAUGAACCGGCGAGUUACGAUCCCGUGCAAGGUUAAGCAGAAGAUGCGGAGCCGCAGCGAAAGCGAGUCUGAAUAGGGCGCAUGAGUACGUGGUCGUAGACCCGAAACCAGGUGAUCUACCCAUGUCCAGGGUGAAGUUCAGGUAACACUGAAUGGAGGCCCGAACCCACGCACGUUGAAAAGUGCGGGGAUGAGGUGUGGGUAGGGGUGAAAUGCCAAUCGAACCUGGAGAUAGCUGGUUCUCUCCGAAAUAGCUUUAGGGCUAGCCUCAAGGUAAGAGUCUCGGAGGUAGAGCACUGAUUGGACUAGGGGCCCCUACCGGGUUACCGAAUUCAGUCAAACUCCGAAUGCCGAUGACUUAUCCUUGGGAGUCAGACUGCGAGUGAUAAGAUCCGUAGUCGAAAGGGAAACAGCCCAGACCGCCAGCUAAGGUCCCAAAGUAUACGUUAAGUGGAAAAGGAUGUGGAGUUGCUUAGACAACCAGGAUGUUGGCUUAGAAGCAGCCACCAUUUAAAGAGUGCGUAAUAGCUCACUGGUCGAGUGACUCUGCGCCGAAAAUGUACCGGGGCUAAACGUAUCACCGAAGCUGCGGACUGUUCUGACGAACAGUGGUAGGAGAGCGUUCUAAGGGCUGUGAAGCCAGACCGGAAGGACUGGUGGAGCGCUUAGAAGUGAGAAUGCCGGUAUGAGUAGCGAAAGACGGGUGAGAAUCCCGUCCACCGAAUGCCUAAGGUUUCCUGAGGAAGGCUCGUCCGCUCAGGGUUAGUCGGGACCUAAGCCGAGGCCGAAAGGCGUAGGCGAUGGACAACAGGUUGAUAUUCCUGUACCACCUCCUCACCAUUUGAGCAAUGGGGGGACGCAGGAGGAUAGGGUAAGCGCGGUAUUGGAUAUCCGCGUCCAAGCAGUUAGGCUGGGAAAUAGGCAAAUCCGUUUCCCGUAAAGGCUGAGCUGUGAUGGCGAGCGAAAUUUAGUAGCGAAGUUCCUGAUUCCACACUGCCAAGAAAAGCCUCUAGCGAGGUGAGAGGUGCCCGUACCGCAAACCGACACAGGUAGGCGAGGAGAGAAUCCUAAGGUGAUCGAGAGAACUCUCGUUAAGGAACUCGGCAAAAUGACCCCGUAACUUCGGGAGAAGGGGUGCUUCUUAGGGUGUUAAAGCCCCGAGAAGCCGCAGUGAAUAGGCCCAGGCGACUGUUUAGCAAAAACACAGGUCUCUGCGAAGCCGUAAGGCGAAGUAUAGGGGCUGACGCCUGCCCGGUGCUGGAAGGUUAAGAGGAGCGCUUAGCGUAAGCGAAGGUGCGAAUUGAAGCCCCAGUAAACGGCGGCCGUAACUAUAACGGUCCUAAGGUAGCGAAAUUCCUUGUCGGGUAAGUUCCGACCCGCACGAAAGGCGCAACGAUCUGGGCACUGUCUCAACGAGAGACUCGGUGAAAUUAUAGUACCUGUGAAGAUGCAGGUUACCCGCGACAGGACGGAAAGACCCCGUGGAGCUUUACUGCAGCCUGAUAUUGAAUGUUGGUACAGCUUGUACAGGAUAGGUAGGAGCCUUGGAAACCGGAGCGCUAGCUUCGGUGGAGGCAUCGGUGGGAUACUACCCUGGCUGUAUUGACCUUCUAACCCGCUGCCCUUAUCGGGCAGGGAGACAGUGUCAGGUGGGCAGUUUGACUGGGGCGGUCGCCUCCUAAAAUGUAACGGAGGCGCCCAAAGGUUCCCUCAGAAUGGUUGGAAAUCAUUCGCAGAGUGUAAAGGCACAAGGGAGCUUGACUGCGAGACCUACAAGUCGAGCAGGGACGAAAGUCGGGCUUAGUGAUCCGGUGGUUCCG